RNAcentral lists this ribosomal RNA (317 nucleotides) under uncultured Placocista. RNAcentral describes it as "partial large subunit ribosomal RNA". It matches the Rfam family "Eukaryotic large subunit ribosomal RNA", at positions 40 to 350 of the family's 3401-position model. Lineage: Eukaryota; Cercozoa; Imbricatea; Euglyphida; Euglyphidae. The record is from RNAcentral.
AUAUUAUUAAGCGGAGGAAAAGAAACUAACAAGGAUUCCCCUAGUAACGGCGAGUGAAGCGGGAAAAGCUCAAAAUGAAAAUCGGGUGGCUCAACAGUUAUCCGAGUUGUAAUCUUAAGGCUUGUUUUCUGCGUGUGACCCGGGUAUAACUCUUUUGAAACAAGGGAUCAUAGAGGGUGAAAAUCCCGUCUUUGACCCGGAGUUCGCCGCGUACGAUACAUGUCCAAAGAGUCGAGUAGCUUGGGAUUGCUGCUCAAAAUGGGUGGUAAACUUCAUCUAAAGCUAAAUACCGGCCAGAGACCGAUAGCGCACAAGUA